UGGGGGGAAACCCUUGAUCCCAGCCCAUCCCCGCGGGGUAUGAUGAAAGGCCUUUCGGGGUUGUAAAAGUACUUUUUGGCAAGAGAAGAAAAAGGUAUCCCCUUAAUACGGGGAUACUGGCUGACGGGUAUCUGCAAGAAUAAGCACCGGGCUAAAUUACGUGCCCAGCAGCCCGCGGGUAAUACGGUAGGGGUGCCAAGCGUUUAUCGGGAAUUACUGGGGCGUAAAAGCGUGUGUAGGCGGUUUCGGAAAGAAAAGAUGUGAAAUCCCCAGGGCUCAACCUUGGAACUGCAUUUUUAACUGCCGAGCUAGAGUAUGUCAGAGGGGGGUAGAAUUCCACGUGUAGCAGUGAAAUGCGUAGAUAUGUGGAGGAAUACCGAUGGCGAAGGCAGCCCCCUGGGAUAAUACUGACGCUCAGACACGAAAGCGUGGGGAGCAAACAGGAUUAGAUACCCUGGUAGUCCACGCCCUAAACGAUGUCAACUAGCUGUUGGGGCCGUUAGGCCUUAGUAGCGCAGCUAACGCGUGAAGUUGACCGCCUGGGGAGUACGGUCGCAAGAUUAAAACUCAAAGGAAUUGACGGGGACCCGCACAAGCGGUGGAUGAUGUGGAUUAAUUCGAUGCAACGCGAAAAACCUUACCUACCCUUGACAUGUCUGGAAUCCCGAAGAGAUUUGGGAGUGCUCGCAAGAGAACCGGAACACAGGUGCUGCAUGGCUGUCGUCAGCUCGUGUCGUGAGAUGUUGGGUUAAGUCCCGCAACGAGCGCAACCCUUGUCAUUAGUUGCUACGCAAGAGCACUCUAAUGAGACUGCCGGUGACAAACCGGAGGAAGGUGGGGAUGACGUCAAGUCCUCAUGGCCCUUAUGGGUAGGGCUUCACACGUCAUACAAUGGUCGGGACAGAGGGUCGCCAACCCGCGAGGGGGAGCCAAUCUCAGAAACCCGAUCUAGUCCGGAUCGCAGUCUGCAACUCGACUGCGUGAAGUCGGAAUCGCUAGUAAUCGCGGAUCAGAAUGUCGCGGUGAAUACGUUCCCGGGUCUUGUACACACCGCCCGUCACACCAUGGGAGUGGGUUUCACCAGAAGUAGGUAGCCUAACCGUAAGGAGGGCGC
Molecule: ribosomal RNA, 1114 nt
Filed under: Alcaligenes faecalis
Lineage: Bacteria; Pseudomonadati; Pseudomonadota; Betaproteobacteria; Burkholderiales; Alcaligenaceae
Description: bacterial SSU rRNA
Rfam family: Bacterial small subunit ribosomal RNA
Source: RNAcentral